Molecule: transfer RNA, 74 nt
Filed under: compost metagenome
Description: tRNA-Lys
Rfam family: tRNA
About the family: Transfer RNA (tRNA) molecules are approximately 80 nucleotides in length.
Source: RNAcentral
UGGGUGCGUAAUUCAGUGGUAGAAUAACCGCCUUUUAAGCGGUAAGUCGUGAGUUCGAGCCUCAUCGCACCCAU